GCUCCAAGUGGGCCAUUUUUGGUAA
RNAcentral lists this non-coding RNA (25 nucleotides) under Arabidopsis thaliana (thale cress). The record is from RNAcentral. Lineage: Eukaryota; Viridiplantae; Streptophyta; Magnoliopsida; Brassicales; Brassicaceae.